Molecule: long non-coding RNA, 390 nt
Filed under: Rattus norvegicus (Norway rat)
Lineage: Eukaryota; Metazoa; Chordata; Mammalia; Rodentia; Muridae
Description: long non-coding RNA NONRATT011109
Source: RNAcentral
CGGAGUCCCUGAACUGCUAUGGCUACCGGUGGCGGCGUGACCUCCAGAGAGGGGCUGCGCUACGCCGAAUACCUGCCUCCUUCUGCCCAAAGGCCGGACGCCGACAUCGACCACACAGCGGUCGCUAUGCAUUUCAAAUCUGGAAACCUCUAGAACAAGUACUCACUGCAACAGCAAGGAAGAUUUCCUCUCCAAGCUUUUCAUCCUACUAUAAAGGAGGAUUCGAGCAGAAAAUGAGUAGGCGAGAAGCCAGUCUCAUUUUAGGAGUAAGCCCAUCUGCUGGCAAGGCCAAGAUUAGAACAGCACACAAGAGAAUUAUGAUUUUAAACCAUCCCGACAAAGGUGGAUCUCCUUACUUAGCAUCCAAAAUAAAUGAAGCAAAAGAUUUGC